UACGGAGGGUGCAAGCGUUAUUCGGAAUUACUGGGCGUAAAGCGCGUGUAGGCGGGGCUGCAAGUCGGGUGUGAAAGCCCGAGGCUCAACCUCGGAACUGCAUUCGAUACUGCUUGUCUCGAGUCCUGGAGAGGUGAGUGGAAUUCCUAGUGUAGAGGUGAAAUUCGUAGAUAUUAGGAAGAACACCAGUGGCGAAGGCGGCUCACUGGCCCGGUACUGACGCUGAGGCGCGAAAGCGUGGGGAGCAAACAGG
This 253-nucleotide ribosomal RNA is filed under the name uncultured bacterium. RNAcentral describes it as "partial 16S ribosomal RNA". It matches the Rfam family "Bacterial small subunit ribosomal RNA", at positions 524 to 776 of the family's 1533-position model. The record is from RNAcentral.